AGUCUGCAACCCGACUACAUGAAGCUGGAAUCGCUAGUAAUCGCGGAUCAGAAUGCCGCGGUGAAUACGUUCCCGGGUCUUGUACACACCGCCCGUCACACCAUGGGAGUCGGAAAUGCCCGAAGUCUGCGACCUAACCGUAAGGAAGGAGCAGCCGAAGGCAGGUCGGAUGACUGGGGUGAAGUCGUAACAAGGUACC
Molecule: ribosomal RNA, 199 nt
Filed under: uncultured bacterium
Lineage: Bacteria
Description: partial 16S ribosomal RNA
Rfam family: Bacterial small subunit ribosomal RNA
Source: RNAcentral